This 393-nucleotide ribosomal RNA is filed under the name uncultured bacterium. RNAcentral's name for it is "partial 16S ribosomal RNA". It matches the Rfam family "Bacterial small subunit ribosomal RNA", at positions 523 to 918 of the family's 1533-position model. The record is from RNAcentral.
AUACGGAGGAUCCGAGCGUUAUCCGGAUUUAUUGGGUUUAAAGGGUGCGUAGGUGGACAGGUCAGUCAGGGGUGAAAGUUUGCAGCUUAACUGUAAAAUUGCCUUUGAUACUGCUUGUCUUGAGUGCAAAUGAGGUAGGCGGAAUGCGUUGUGUAGCGGUGAAAUGCUUAGAUAUGACACAGAACUCCGAUUGCGAAGGCAGCUGGCCGGGCCUGCAUUGACGCUCAGGCACGAAAGCGUGGGGAUCGAACAGGAUUAGAUACCCUGGUAGUCCACGCUGUAAACGAUGGACACUCGUUGUCGGCGACAGACAGUCGGCGGCCAAGCGAAAGUGAUAAGUGUCCCACCUGGGGAGUACGGUCGCAAGGCUGAAACUCAAAUGAAUUGGCGGGG